Molecule: transfer RNA, 71 nt
Filed under: Crassvirales sp.
Lineage: Duplodnaviria; Heunggongvirae; Uroviricota; Caudoviricetes; Crassvirales
Description: tRNA-Gln
Rfam family: tRNA
About the family: Transfer RNA (tRNA) molecules are approximately 80 nucleotides in length. Their secondary structure includes four short double-helical elements and three loops (D, anti-codon, and T loops).
Source: RNAcentral
UGAGGUAUGGUGUAAUGGUAACACUGCAGAUUUUGGUUCUGUCAUUGUAGGUUCAAGUCCUGCUACCUCAA